Molecule: ribosomal RNA, 445 nt
Filed under: uncultured bacterium
Lineage: Bacteria
Description: partial 16S ribosomal RNA
Rfam family: Bacterial small subunit ribosomal RNA
Source: RNAcentral
GUGAGGAAUAUUGGUCAAUGGGCGAGAGCCUGAACCAGCCAAGUAGCGUGCAGGAUGACGGCCCUAUGGGUUGUAAACUGCUUUUACACGGGGAUAAAGUGUGCGACGUGUCGUUCAUUGCAGGUACCGUGCGAAUAAGGACCGGCUAAUUCCGUGCCAGCAGCCGCGGUAAUAAGGAAGGUCCGUGCGUUAUCCGGAUUUAUUGGGUUUAUAGGGAGCGUCGGCCGUCUGUUAAGCGUGUUGUGAAAUGUAGAUGCUCAACAUCUGAAUUGCAGCGCGAACUGGCCGACUUGAGUGCGCAGGAAGUAGGCAGAAUUCGUGGUGUAGCGGUGAAAUGCUUAGAUAUCACGAAGAACUCCGAUUGCGAAGGCAGCUUACUGUAGCGCCACUGACGCUGAAGCUCGAAAGUGCGGGUAUCGAACAGGAUUAGAUACCCGAGUAGUCC